Molecule: ribosomal RNA, 468 nt
Filed under: uncultured bacterium
Lineage: Bacteria
Description: partial 16S ribosomal RNA
Rfam family: Bacterial small subunit ribosomal RNA
Source: RNAcentral
GACGAACGCUGGCGGCGUGCUUAACACAUGCAAGUCGAACGGAAAGGCCCUGCUUUUGUGGGGUGCUCGAGUGGCGAACGGGUGAGUAACACGUGAGUAACCUGCCCUUGACUUUGGGAUAACUUCAGGAAACUGGGGCUAAUACCGGAUAGGAGCUCCUGCUGCAUGGUGGGGGUUGGAAAGCUUCGGCGGUUGGGGAUGGACUCGCGGCUUAUCAGCUUGUUGGUGGGGUAGUGGCUUACCAAGGCAUUGACGGGUAGCCGGCCUGAGAGGGUGACCGGCCACAUUGGGACUGAGAUACGCCCCAGACUCCAACGGGGGGCAGCAGUCGAGAGUAUUACACAAUGGGCGGACGCCUGAUGCAGAGACGCCGCGUGCGGGAUGACGGCCUUCGGGUUGUAAACCGCUUUCGCCUGUGACGAAGCGUGAGUGACGGUAAUGGGUAAAGAAGCACCGGCUAACUACGUG